This 446-nucleotide ribosomal RNA is filed under the name uncultured bacterium. Its description in RNAcentral is "SSU rRNA". It matches the Rfam family "Bacterial small subunit ribosomal RNA", at positions 26 to 518 of the family's 1533-position model. The record is from RNAcentral.
AGAGCGAACACUGGCGGCAGGCCUAACACAUGCAAGUCGAGCGCCCGUAGCAAUACGGGAGCGGCAGACGGGAGAGUAACACGUGGGAACGUACCCUUCAGUUCGGAAUAACCCAGGGAAACUUGGACUAAUACCGAAUACGUCCGUAAGGAGAAAGAUUUAUCGCUGAAGGAUCGGCCCGCGUCUGAUUAGCUUGUUGGUGAGGUAACGGCUCACCAAGGCGACGAUCAGUAGCUGGUCUGAGAGGAUGAUCAGCCUCACUGGGACUGAGACACGGCCCAGACUCCUACGGGAGGCAGCAGUGGGGAAUAUUGGACAAUGGGCGCAAGCCUGAUCCAGCCAUGCCGCGUGGAUGAUGAAGGCCCUAGGGUGUAAAGUCCUUUCGACGGGGAAGAUAAUGACGGUACCCGUAGAAGAAGCCCGGCUAACUUCGUGCCAGCAGCCGC